GUUGAACGCUGGCGGCGUGCCUAAUACAUGCAAGUCGAGCGAACAGACGAGGAGCUUGCUCCUCUGACGUUAGCGGCGGACGGGUGAGUAACACGUGGAUAACCUACCUAUAAGACUGGGAUAACUUCGGGAAACCGGAGCUAAUACCGGAUAAUAUAUUGAACCGCAUGGUUCAGUAGUGAAAGACGGUUUUGCUGUCACUUAUAGAUGGAUCCGCGCCGCAUUAGCUAGUUGGUAAGGUAACGGCUUACCAAGGCGACGAUGCGUAGCCGACCUGAGAGGGUGAUCGGCCACACUGGAACUGAGACACGGUCCAGACUCCUACGGGAGGCAGCAGUAGGGAAUCUUCCGCAAUGGGCGAAAGCCUGACGGAGCAACGCCGCGUGAGUGAUGAAGGUCUUCGGAUCGUAAAACUCUGUUAUUAGGGAAGAACAAAUGUGUAAGUAACUAUGCACGUCUUGACGGUACCUAAUCAGAAAGCCACGGCUAACUACGUG
Molecule: ribosomal RNA, 497 nt
Filed under: uncultured bacterium
Lineage: Bacteria
Description: partial 16S ribosomal RNA
Rfam family: Bacterial small subunit ribosomal RNA
Source: RNAcentral